GAUGAACGCUGGCGGCGUGCCUAAUACAUGCAAGUCGAGCGAACGGACGAGAAGCUUGCUUCUCUGAUGUUAGCGGCGGACGGGUGAGUAACACGUGGAUAACCUACCUAUAAGACUGGGAUAACUUCGGGAAACCGGAGCUAAUACCGGAUAAUAUUUUGAACCGCAUGGUUCAAAAGUGAAAGACGGUCUUGCUGUCACUUAUAGAUGGAUCCGCGCUGCAUUAGCUAGUUGGUAAGGUAACGGCUUACCAAGACAACGAUGCAUAGCCGACCUGAGAGGGUGAUCGGCCACACUGGAACUGAGACACGGUCCAGACUCCUACGGGAGGCAGCAGUAGGGAAUCUUCCGCAAUGGGCGAAAGCCUGACGGAGCAACGCCGCGUGAGUGAUGAAGGUCUUCGGAUCGUAAAACUCUGUUAUUAGGGAAGAACAUAUGUGUAAGUAACUGUGCACAUCUUGACGGUACCUAAUUAGAAAGCCACGGCUAACUACGUG
This 497-nucleotide ribosomal RNA is filed under the name uncultured bacterium. Its description in RNAcentral is "partial 16S ribosomal RNA". It matches the Rfam family "Bacterial small subunit ribosomal RNA", at positions 28 to 507 of the family's 1533-position model. The record is from RNAcentral.